RNAcentral lists this ribosomal RNA (468 nucleotides) under uncultured bacterium. Its description in RNAcentral is "partial 16S ribosomal RNA". It matches the Rfam family "Bacterial small subunit ribosomal RNA", at positions 28 to 507 of the family's 1533-position model. The record is from RNAcentral.
GACGAACGCUGGCGGCGUGCUUAACACAUGCAAGUCGAACGGAAAGGCCCUGCUUUUGUGGGGUGCUCGAUUGGCGAACGGGUGAGUAACACGCGAGUAACCUGCCCCUGACUUUGGGAUAACUUCAGGAAACUGGGGCUAAUACCGGAUAGGAGCUCCUGCUGCAUGGUGGGGGUUGGAAAGUUUCGGCGGUGGGGGAUGGACUCGCGGCUUAUCAGCUUGUUGGUGGGGUAGUGGCUUACCAAGGCUUUGACGGGUAGCCGGCCUGGGAGGGUGACCGGCCACAUUGGGACUGAGAUACGGCACAGACUCCUAGGGGAGGCAGAAGUGGGGAAUAUUGCACAAUGGGCGGAAGCCUGAUGCAGCAACGCCGCGUGCGGGAUGACGGCCUUAGGGUUGUAAACCGCUUUCGCAUGUGACGAAGCGUGAGUGACGGUAAUGUGUAAAGAAGCACCGGCUAACUACGUG